GCCGAUUUCGUAGCUGUAGACUUGGAAAUGACCGGAGUCACCAGUGCUCCUUGGAGAGAAUCAUUCGAUUACGACCGGUAUGAUAUUAGCUACCUGAAAGUUAAGGACUCCGCCGAGAAGUUCGCCGUCGUUCAGUUCGGCGUUUGUCCCUUCCGGUGGGAUCCUCACAAGCAAUCCUUCAUCGCUCAUCCACACAACUUCUACAUAUUCCCACGGCAAGAAAUUCCUGGUAGCAACCAAUCCCGUGAGUUCCUUUGCCAGACAACAUCACUUGAUUUCUUGGCAAAAUACCAGUUUGAUUUCAAUCUGUGCAUACGUGAAGAAGCCAAGAAAAGGAGGCACUGGAACGUAUAA
RNAcentral lists this unclassified non-coding RNA (354 nucleotides) under Hevea brasiliensis (rubber tree). Lineage: Eukaryota; Viridiplantae; Streptophyta; Magnoliopsida; Malpighiales; Euphorbiaceae. The record is from RNAcentral.